GGUGCUGCAUGGCUGUCGUCAGCUCGUGUCGUGAGAUGUUCGGUUAAGUCCGCUAACGAGCGCAACCCUCACUGUGUGUUAUACGUGUCACACGGGACUGCCGGUUUUAAGCCGGAGGAAGGCGAGGAUGACGUCAAGUCAGCAUGGCCUUUAUAUCUUGGGCUACACACACGCUACAAUGGUCUGUACAAUAGGUUGCCAAGCCGCGAGGCGGAGCCAAUCCUAAAAGCAGGCCUCAGUUCAGAUUGUAGGCUGCAACCCGCCUGCAUGAAGAUGGAGUUGCUAGUAACCGCAGGUCAGCUAUACUGCGGUGAAUACGUUCCCGGGUCUU
Molecule: ribosomal RNA, 331 nt
Filed under: uncultured Anaerolineaceae bacterium
Lineage: Bacteria; Bacillati; Chloroflexota; Anaerolineae; Anaerolineales; Anaerolineaceae
Description: bacterial SSU rRNA
Rfam family: Bacterial small subunit ribosomal RNA
Source: RNAcentral